RNAcentral lists this ribosomal RNA (253 nucleotides) under uncultured bacterium. RNAcentral describes it as "partial 16S ribosomal RNA". It matches the Rfam family "Bacterial small subunit ribosomal RNA", at positions 524 to 776 of the family's 1533-position model. The record is from RNAcentral.
UACGUAGGGGGCAAGCGUUGUCCGGAAUCAUUGGGCGUAAAGCGCGUGUAGGCGGCCUUGUAAGUCCGUUCUGAAAGCCCGGGGCUCAACCCCGGGAGGCGGAUGGAUACUGCAAGGCUCGAGUCCGGAAGAGGCGAGUGGAAUUCCCGGUGUAGCGGUGAAAUGCGCAGAUAUCAGGAGGAACACCGGUGGCGAAGGCGGGUCUCUGGGCCGAUACUGACGCUGAGGAGCGAAAGCGUGGGGAGCGAACAGG